Molecule: long non-coding RNA, 349 nt
Organism: Gadus morhua (Atlantic cod)
Lineage: Eukaryota; Metazoa; Chordata; Actinopteri; Gadiformes; Gadidae
Exons: 4
Source: RefSeq, a predicted model, not a curated record
UGCUCUGCCAAACACGCCCAUAGCUCGUGCGCGUGCGUAACGCGACAGAACUAAUAUGGCCACCGCUGAUAUUCAGUGGAAAUGAACAAUGGAGCAUGACAUGUCUUUCCUGAGACGGUGGUGGUGUGUUUUCCUGGUGGAAAACCUUGGGCUGGAAGGGUAUGGGAGGAAGUUCGCCCACUUUAUUGAGGAAGGAAAAUCAACCCUCCGAAACAAUGUUCAUGUCCCACCUGUCUUCAGAAAACGAAACGAAAAAGGACACUUUCAAGCUGCACAGUGAUGCCAUUGGACUCUGACGAGGACCAUGCUUACAAUCAGAGGCCUUACAGCUUGCCUUCUAAGGAGAUGG